Molecule: ribosomal RNA, 622 nt
Filed under: Hygrophorus olivaceoalbus
Lineage: Eukaryota; Fungi; Basidiomycota; Agaricomycetes; Agaricales; Hygrophoraceae
Description: eukaryotic LSU rRNA
Rfam family: Eukaryotic large subunit ribosomal RNA
Source: RNAcentral
AGCGGAGGAAAAGAAACUAACAAGGAUUCCCCUAGUAACUGCGAGUGAAGCGGGAAAAGCUCAAAUUUAAAAUCUGGCAGUUGUAUGGCUGUCCGAGUUGUAAUCUAGAGAAGUGCUUUCCGCGUUGGACCGUGUACAAGUCUCUUGGAACAGAGCGUCAUAGAGGGUGAGAAUCCCGUCUUUGACACGGACUACCAGUGCUUAUGUGAUGUGCUCUCGAAGAGUCGAGUUGUUUGGGAAUGCAGCUCAAAAUGGGUGGUAAAUUCCAUCUAAAGCUAAAUAUUGGCGAGAGACCGAUAGCGAACAAGUACCGUGAGGGAAAGAUGAAAAGAACUUUGGAAAGAGAGUUAAACAGUACGUGAAAUUGUUGAAAGGGAAACGCUUGAAGUCAGUCGCGUUGGUCAGAAAUCAACCUUCAAAGGUGCACUUUCUGGUUUUUACGGGUCAGCAUCAAUUUUGAUUGUUGGAUAAAAGUCAAUAUUUAUGCAUCUUCGGAUGUAUAGCCAUUGGUUGCAUACAACAGUUGGGAUUGAGGAACUCAGCACGCCGCAAGGCCGGGUCUCUUUUGAUCACGUACGUGCUUAGGAUGCUGGCAUAAUGGCUUUAAUCGACCCGUCUUGAA